GGAUAAGGACAGGAGUGGGGAGGGCACUGAGUUUAUCUAGGUGGUACACACAACCCUAGGCUAUAGGUCUGGCCACGUCUUUCGGCCACUAAGGGCAGUCCUUUAUAAGGUGUUGGGUGCUUUCGCACCGAUAGCAGGCAUGAUUGAUACACUGAUAGAGUAAUUCACCAUUUGAGCGACCAAAAUUUUAUCAUCGUUAGGAAGGUUGCUGGAGCAGGGGGAAGGGCAACUCAGGUUCGUUUAUCUGGGUCGCUAUUUACUGGGUCGAACAAUCUUCUUUUGGGUUGUUGGAGUUGUUGUUGUUGGGUACGAACUCGAACAAUGCAUUGGUGCCUGGCCGAGAUGAGGUCUUUGGUCAACU
RNAcentral lists this long non-coding RNA (361 nucleotides) under Carica papaya (papaya). RNAcentral describes it as "long non-coding RNA (CPAP_LNC002361)". The record is from RNAcentral. Lineage: Eukaryota; Viridiplantae; Streptophyta; Magnoliopsida; Brassicales; Caricaceae.